Molecule: non-coding RNA, 1051 nt
Organism: Paramuricea clavata
Lineage: Eukaryota; Metazoa; Cnidaria; Anthozoa; Malacalcyonacea; Plexauridae
Source: the annotation of a GenBank genome assembly
GCCAAUAAACAUUUAAACACAAUAAUAAAUAUAUAGACAUAAACAUAAGAUACAACAUCACAUUAUUAAAUUAAACUAAUAACAACACGAUACUUGACAGGACAGAUUACGGGACUUGUUACAAGACCAAACAUAUUGAUUUCCAAUGUUCUUGGAUCAUCCACGUCGUAUACUGUUUCUAAUGCUACUUUAUAAUACAAGAAAAGUCCAUUUUUGAACCGACUAAUAACUGUAGUGGUCUUGCAUCGUGUUGUCGUGAAUGACAAAUGGUCAGGAUCGGAUGAUCUUGUUUCUCUGUUGACACUUGCUGGUGGAGGCAGGAAAUGUUCUUCAAUUCUCAUGAGUCCAUGAAUUAGUUUGCAAAACACAACCAUAUCCAGAAAUUCAUGCCAGUAGCUCAAUGGAAUAAGCCCUAUGUAGUCUCACAAGGGAAGGGUAGGUCCAAGACAUACGUAGUCGUGUGUCGUUGAAGUCUUUCUGUGCGUUGGAUUAGACCGAUGAUUUGUGGCACGAACGAGAGUGAAGUAUAGAGUGAGUGCGGCGAACUGCGCUGCCUUUGAUGUCGAACGUUGAUCUACGAAUGUAUCCUAUAUAGGGUCUUGGAGAAUCUUGGAGGCUUUGGCGCACUGGUACUCGACAUGUUUAGACCAAGUUGGGCUAGCUGAAGUUAAUAUUCCAAGAUCACGCUCAUUGUCCGUGCUUUCUAUAACGGUAUCAUGCAGCGUCUACGGGUAGAUGAUUAUGUUGUGCUUACGGGUGACUCUCAACACUUAGUAUUUGCUUACAUUUAACUCCAGGUUCACGUUGGUUGAGCCCUCCUCAAAUUUUAACAGGUCACUCUGCAGAGCAGCAGCAUCAGAAAUGGAAUUGAUGGUCUUAAAGAUUUUGGUAUCAUCAGCAAACGUAGCAAUCUUUGAACUAGUCACAGCAUUGGAGAGAUGAUUCUCGUACAGAAAGAACAACAACGGACCGAGGAUGGACCCCUGCGGCACUCCUGAUGUUACCAUGCAGAGAGGUUUCGACGUUGAACGGUUGCUUGCUGGCAUCGAUU